CCUGUAAACCAAGCACACAGCAGGAUGAGACAGACCUCAUUCAGAAUCCGAAUCCCCCCACAGCCUGCCUUCUUCCGCUGACCAACCAGUGACAGCCACCAGAGGGCACUGCGAAGAAUCUGAAGCACCAACUACCCUAAGCUCCCUGUUUGUGGCCUGGCAAAGCAGUGGAGGGCAGACCAAGUCCUUGGGACCCUGCACAUACAGGGGAGAUCUGGAAGCAGCUCCUAACUUCAGAUCUGCUCAGCUCCGGUUGUUGCAGCCACUUGGGCAAUGAACCAACGGAUGAAAUACCUUUCUCUGUCUUUCCUGCUCUCUUACAUACAGUUCCUGGCCUGGAAGGAACUGACACACAAGAACAGCUGCUGACCUGUCUGAAAUUAAAGCCAGCCCUUCUACAGCCUUAAUCCUUUACGACUGAGGAAUAAACAGCAGCAAGAAUGUAGGACGAGACUAGUAUGGUCAACUUUGCCAGCAU
This is a long non-coding RNA of Ochotona princeps (American pika), 478 nucleotides long. RefSeq lists it as uncharacterized. The record is from RefSeq and is a predicted model, not a curated record. NCBI's taxonomy places the organism in Eukaryota, Metazoa, Chordata, Mammalia, Lagomorpha, Ochotonidae. The transcript has 3 exons.